RNAcentral lists this long non-coding RNA (7888 nucleotides) under Musa acuminata (dwarf banana). RNAcentral describes it as "long non-coding RNA (MACU_LNC000276)". Lineage: Eukaryota; Viridiplantae; Streptophyta; Magnoliopsida; Zingiberales; Musaceae. The record is from RNAcentral.
GUCCAGAGGCAUAUAUGAUCACAAGCACGGAUUGCCUUACUGAGGGAAUAACCAAUUCUGGAUGAUGACUAGCACAAUCCAGAGGCAAUAAAUUAGCAAUGAAGAUAUAUGAUCACAUGCACAUAUUGCCUUACUCAGAGAGAACCAAUUUGCACAGCAUGUAUUGGCAAAAAGAAAAGAGAUACUUGAUGCUUAGUGAGGCUGGAAGAAAGAAAAUCCCUAGAGCUACUUGAUGCUUCUUUCAAUGAGAAUGAGAGGCGUAAAGUUUGCUAGGGUAGCAGUACACUUCCCCAAGUUGAUUGUUGAAAAGGUUCGUAGUAUUCUUAAAAAAGAUGCUUCUAGUUUGCUUCAACAUUCACAACUAUAUUUAAUGCAAUUUUGCUGUUCAAUCGGAAGAAAGGACAAACUUCAAGUCAAUUAGUAUCUUUCAUCCAUCAAAAUUUAUCUGUUGGAAAUUUUAGGUUGAGUAAUAGAAUGUGAAUCAUGCAUAAUUUGUUUCAAUAAAAAAUUGUUAAAAACAGAUGAAGGUUCAGCAGCAAAAGCAUUUGGAAUGAGAAAUGAUAUUUCCUCGAUAUAAUAUUAAACUGGUCUUCGUAAGACCCUUGGCCACAAAUUAAGUUCCUUUGGUCCCUAUUCGUCGCAAUUAACUGAAUCAAGGCAUUGGCCUAAUGGUUGACAUCCAAUUUAUUUUGAAAGAUUUUGGGUUCAAAUACUUGUAAUGGUGAUGUCGAAGAAUUUGAGCUAUAUAAUUUUAUAGCUUGAGAUCCAUCUACCACUCUCCAGUAUUAAAAUGAAACACAGAAACUCAUGAGUCAAGACCUCAGACAGAUGUCACACUUAAUAUUUAGUGAGAUAAUAACACAUUGGUCGUAUGACAUGUUGACACUAAAAGAUUAAAGACAAAACUAUUGUUAGAAGAAUCAACUGUUGUCAAUGUUAAAUUAAAAUAUGAAAAAAAAAUUAAUUUUAAAGAAGCAACAAAAGUAAAAGAGGCAAUCAGAGGCACAAGUGAACUGGAUAUACAUGACAAAGAAUAUGCCUAAUAGCAAAAGUUUACCUUAAUCGAAACCUUGCUCUUGACUUGCGUCUCCAAGGCAUCUGUCAUAGACUGUGAGGAGAACAAAUUCAAAGGAAAAAGAACUUAAAAGCAUGACUGCUAAAAUCUCCAAAAGAAAAUUUUCCAGGGUUUAACUUAAAUUUACCUUAUCAAACUGCAUAAGGACUUGGAUAGCUAGCUCCGGGCUCAACGUACCGCUGGAAACCAUCUCAUCUAGGGUUUCUGUCAAGCACAUGCCAAUGGAGGACCUUCGGUACAAUUCAAAUGUGGCCAUGGCCUAUUCUAGCACUCCAAUUAGCAAAAGUUAUUUAGUAACAAAAGCUCAGGAUUUCAAAACAAAGAAAAGCAAAAAGGCAACAAUAAACAACUAGAAACAAAGAAUGGGCUGGUAUAUUUUAUUUUUUCUAUUAAGUGGAGGUAGCAACUCUUUAACAUAUUAGAAAUUGAACCGUAGCAGAAGAUUAACAUCAUAAAUAACAAUAAUAAAAACCACUAGAAAGACUUGACACCAAAAGGAUGCUUUAUAUAAUAAAUGAGGGCUUCGGAAUAACGACCAGCUCAAGAAGAAAAGUGAAAAGUGUAAGAAAGAAAGGGGGAAGUAGAUAUCACACUUCCCUAUGCCAUGAAAGAGGCAUUGACAUAACAGCAAGCAAAUGUUUAAAACAGCAACCCAAUUAGUAGACAAUGUCAAUUAGGAAAAGUUUUUCUAAAUACAUCUUUGAUAUAGUUGAAGCAUAUUCCCAGAGCAAAGCCCGUCAGAGCAUAAUUACUUGCCGAAUCAAGUAAGAAAGAUAUGCUCUUUCAUCCAAAGAAUAAACAGAAGAACGAAUCCCCUUUUACAUGGUAAAGUAGGAUGGAGAUAAAGACAUGCAUGAAACAAGCAACAGAUCUUUGGUCUUCUAGACAAUAAAAACAAAAAAAAUAUUUGUGUUUUAUCUUCUGUUUUACAGAACAUGUUUGGCAGUCACAUCUUCAUAACAUGGACAGGCACAACCUAGAGCUUCUAUCUUUAAUCUCCUUGUGCAUACAUGAAUUAUGUUUCAACAAUCGUUAUGUGCACAUUAGGCAUUUGUAAAUCAAGAAGCCAAGCAAAUCCAGUUAUAAAAAUUUAAGUGACUAAUAAAGAUCUAUGAUGGACAUUUUACAAUGCAGACACCUGCAAUUUUGAGUUUAGAAUGGCAAAUAAAUUAGAGAACAUCGUAUCAAUAAUGUCAUAAAACCAUACCAGUUCUAAAAAUGUAACCACACUUAAGUUUAAACAUCACAGAGCAUAUACAACCAUGGGGUUUACUGAAUAUGAGUAGGUGAAAAUACUUGUUUGAAUUGGCACUUACUCCAUCAUGAUUACAAGCAUCAUGAUCAAAAUUAUGUAAAGAAAGCUAGAUAAUAUAAAAUCUUCAUCCUUCAAUAUACCAUGUGCUUCGUCCUCUAAAAACCACUCAUAAGCCUCCAGUCAUCACAUGUCAAAAAAGAAACUAAAUAAUGGCAAACCAAUCAGAGACUUGAAUACAAUAAGGAUCGCGUUUUCUGCGAAUGAAGUAUCACAUGCCACGAUCUCUCAGCAAAGACUAACUCUAUCGAGUCUAAAAAGAAACCGUAAUUAACAUUCAAGUACUCGAACAACACAAAGAACCACAAAUCAAACGCUACAACCGAGACAACAUCCCAAACCCAUCAAAUCAAAGCAAAGUUGGCUUUUUUCGGUUCAUCCAAAUCGAACCAACGCCAAACCAAAAUCCACGAACAAAGGAAACAAAAUAAGAACUAAAACAAGGGGCUUCGGUUCCCGCGGGUAAGACGGAGGAAAAGGGAGAAGAAACGGAAGGAAAUGACCUCGGAUCGCGAUAUCUCGAGCUAAAACUCGAAUGCCGAAACCCUAAUCGCCUCAGGACGAGGACGAGGCCGGAUUCCCAGGGGCUUGGGGCGAUGGUCAAAGAGAGCUCGGCACGAGGGCGAGCUCGAAGAAGGAGAGGAAGAGAGGAACGCAGCGAGAGAUCGGCGUCCAACGGGGGAUUUCAAAUGGAGGAUUAUAUAAGCGAUGGCAUCGGAGAGGAAGAUAUAUACAUAGAGAGAAAAGGGACGGCUGGAGGGACUCUUUAAUUUCAUUGUUCGCACACUAAAUCUGUGCGGUGGGAAGAUCCACCGUCCGUUUGAUCAAUCUAAUGGAUCCUGGCCGUCCGAGCUCAGUGAUGCGAUCAUGCGUGGCUCUUGGACGCAUGACUGCGACCCCGAGUCGGCCCGGGUCGACUCUGUAGCAGUGCUGCAAACUCGGACGAGUAGGUCGAUUCGAAUCGGGCGUCAGGUUAUUGUGGACAACAAAAGCUAUAAAUACAAACCACAAGUCAAACUGGGUUUAAACAUUUGCAACGAGUUCUCUAUAACGGCUUUGGUGGCCGCAUGGUUUCCAUAAGAAUCGUUGUCUUGGUGUAUGCAAAAUGCUUGGAAUGAAUAUACCUUUGUCAUCGGCCCGUCCAACUCCGAUGACCACUGCGCAUGCCCACCGUUGUGGUGGCGCAGGCGGUGAUGACGAUGUCAACGAUCCGUCCCGCCGCAAGCAGAGCACACAGUCGACACCGACCCCGUAUUCCCGGCGGAGGAGGAAGUCGAAAAAGAUGGCGUUGGUAUUCCACCUACGCAAGCGCCAAGGAACAACAGACAAGCGCCAAGGAAGUACGAAGGGGCGGCUCCAGGAGGAAAGCACAACAGACAAGGAGAAGCAGUGGGAAGACGAAUUGGACCGGGGAACAGGCGAACAAGGAGGAGGAGGAGGGAGAAGAAGGUGCCGCGGAGGCACCAACGGCGUCAGGAGGAGCGGUCGAGGGGACUCGGGAAGCAUAAUACUAGCAAUAGUAUCAUAUAAUCCUAAUAAUUGAUUUGAUGAAAAUGAAAUGAGUUAUAAUACUUGAUAAUCGAUUAAAUAUAAAAAAAUAUAUUUUAUUUUAAAAUUAUAAAAAUUAUAUAUAAAGAUUUAUACAAAUAUUUUAAAACUAUAUACUUUGUGGAUUGAUUUAACGAAAAAUAUCUUGAUUACACUCGAGCGAGGUAUAUUCAUUCACCGUCCGAAUGGAUCCGAAAUGAAUCGACUCAUGAAUUUGUGACUUGAAAUAGUCUGAUUAUAAUAAAAAAAAAUUAAAAUUAAAAAAAAAUAUAUAUAUCUCUUGAUAAAAUCAAAUAUAAGGGUGCUACAAAGAUAAAACUCAUUACUAAGAAUUUUUAUUUUUCUUUGGUAAAUUGCCCCAUUACUGUUACAGACCAAUAUCAUCGAUCAUCGUUAGGAAAGUGGGAGGUCUAUCAAUGGAUUUCCUAACAGACAUCGACCCGCAAAUAAUCUCGCUCUGGGAAUUGCCAAUACCUAAAUGCAGUGAACUUAAUUGUUGAUGACAGACUGGUUUUGCUUGUGCUAUCAUGUGGAUUGCGAUGACGGAUGGGAUAGCUUCAUACUGAAACUACUUGUUGAGUUGGAAGUAUGUGUUACAGAGAUGAACCAAAUGUUCCUCUCAGGUGACCACAUUGACCUAAAUUUCUUGUGAUAAUUAAAUCACGACAUUUUUGUAUGAAAUUAUUCAGGUUUCAUCGGAAACCUACCUUUUCUUAGAUUUUAUAUCAAGAUAUGGAACUGAGGUUAGAGUCAUCAAGUUGGAACUCAUGACAAAAUGUCGAACCCACAAAACAUCCAUGCAAGAGUAUGAUUCAGGUUUAGAGUUUAAAACACAGAUUUUACACACAAAAAAAAAGAGCUAUCUCAAACUAUGUAAUGAAACUACCAUAUACUGCCACAAGUAAUGUUACAAGAUGACAAGUGGAUUACUACGAUCAUCACAAGUAACUACUAGAAUAUUGUGCGCCAUUGUAUUUUGAGUCCUUUUUGUACUGUGUCUCAAAAGCCAUAUCAAAACACACAUUUUGGAAUUUCCAAAAGCCAUUAGCAACUCCUGUUCAUGCACAUAAUAAGCUCCCUAGAUAACUAAGCAAAAAGACUCCAAAAAUGUCCCUGAUGCUCCAAUAAUAAUCCACCAAAAUGCAGUAGCAUGCAAUCGCACGUAAUUCAAGUUAAAUACAUGUUACAAACCUGCCACAGAGAUUAGGAGUUUGGCAGAGGGAUUGGUGUAUCUUAAUCCAAGAUGCAAGCAAACUUUACAUUCGUACUCAUAGUCCCCACGAGAACACAAGACAGGGGCUCUUCACUGUGUGAGCAACUUGGAGUCACAAGCCACAAUCUUCACUCUCUUGACUUGGUCGUGGCAGUCCUCGCUUUUGAAAACUGCAUCUUGCAAGAUGAAUGUCCACACAUUGUCACAGAACCUAUAAGUGUGCAGAUGACCCUGUAGAACAGUCUUGAGAAAAUAAGGUUUCUUGAUUACCAGGUUUAAUCAGAAAAAAAAAAAAAGGAAAAACUUAAACAUGAGGGCAUGAUAAUGGUUUGACUUUAUUCUAUAACUUGCAUAAUAUUGGUCUAACAGUGGGAGCUUAAAUCUUGACCAGAGAAUAGAGAGGCCAACUAUGGGCAUACUUGGCAUCUAUCAUGGGAUUUGGAUAAGUAGAAAGCACAGAAUAGGCAUGAGAUAACACAUAGCCGACUAUAAUGUCAAUAAACUACAGAAUAUUACUUAACGGUCAAAAUAACCACCUAUGAUCGGAUAGCUCUAAAUGAAAUAAAUCUUCACAUGAUAAAAGGGACUGAUGGACCUGAAAGAUUGAUAAGGGAAAAAAGGAAACUUCAGGUUUAAGAGGUAAGCAGUAGUACAUAUACAGCAAAAUCUGCAGGAUGGGAACUCCCAUUUCAAUAGCUCCAUAUGCAUAAUUUAGUAAAGCCAGAUAAGAUCAGAACUAAAAUAUGUCUUUUACCACUUAACUAGGAUGAUUUAGUCCAGAAUUGGAGUAUUGCAUAUUGCAUGAGUGCAGGUGCACAGUGAACUACAGUAUAUGCAGACAUGAUGAAAAUAGUUGGUACUCAUGACACACAACAGGCUGUUAAGUCAGUCAAAGUUUCCAGUCUGGUGGACUUGAAUAAGCGAGAUCAACUCAUCUUCAGAAAAAACCAUGCACAUUUCAGAAAUUUAGAAGGAAAGAAAAGUUCUUAACUAGUAGAAAACAGAAUGUCCUGGAAACAAGGUUUAGCAGGAAAUCUGUUGAUUCAUUAUAUGCGCUAAAUGCAUGCAUAUACCACAUAGACAACUAGUGAACCAUAUAUAUAAAUUACCCACAGAUAAGCAUAAAACAAGAGACAGAAUGUCCUCAAGUACAACAACUUUGGUCCAAUAACAAUGAUAUAUAUGUAUACACAUACACACACACAUCAUUGUCACCAAACAAACAAAAAGUCACUUACCUAAUGAUAUUUCAUUUCCAAAUUGUUAAUAAAAUGAAGAAAGAUUGUUUCUCAGCCUCAGACAACCUAGGGAUAAAAGAUACAAGAGAGUACAGGGUACAAGGACUUGACGGGUCAAUUUAUCAAUUACCUUUGAUCUAGAAUUUAUCAUGGGAUUUUAUAGUGUCAGCUUAAAAUACAAAAGUAACGUCAUAAAGUGAUCCGGAUGAACAAAUGUAUGACUCCUAAAACAUGUCAACAAACUACACACACCAAACACGUACAGAGAGUAUCAUAUCAUAAAUACACCAAUCCUUUGAUUUAAUGCUACUUUAAAAGGUUCACACUCAAGUUUCAGAUGCUAAGAUAAUCAAAGAAGCAAUCAGCGGCAAUGGUUUCAGGUGCUCACACAGACUAAAACCCUAUUUGACCCCAAAAAGCUAUGCUUCAUCUGCUAUUUAAGGCCCAAGAUUUGACUGAAGUCGAAGCACAGAAAGUAACGUACAUAUCAGCCUGAGCCUCGUCUACUAUUUCUCAUUAAUCACACAAGUUCAAGUCCAAGCGAUGCCUGAACAGAGAGAAUGAAAGCUAUGUGAUUUGAUGAAUAUGUCCAAGAAGGUUCAGAUUUCUUUUGGAAGAGUCCAGAGUCAGACCCAGUCCAGGAUAUUGGACUUUUUAUGGGAAUGGCAUGACUGGGCGUGCAACAUGCCAAGUUCAAUUUUGGUAGAAGUUGAAUGAAAAAAGAAAAAGAUUCAUGACUUGCUCUUGUAUUCUUAUGACAAUUCUUUUAGUAAUAUUUUCUAAUCCACAAAUAUAUAACUAAUAUAACAAAUUACAGAAGAAUACCUUUAGUAAUGAAAUUUGUGUAAAUAUUCAUUCAGUGAUUUAAAUGACACAACUAGCAAAAUGACUAGAAUGAGAUCACAACCGCUGAUCGCCUUACUGGGGGAACAAUCAAUCUUGCAAAUGACUAGAAUGAUCCAGAGGCAUAUGUGCUCACAAGCAUGGAGAACAACCAAUUCUGGAUGAUGAUGACUAGCAUGGUCCAGAGGCAUAUAUGAUCACAAGCACGGAUUGCCUUACUGAGGGAAUAACCAAUUCUGGAUGAUGACUAGCAUAAUCCAGAGGCAAUAAAUUAGCAAUGAAGAUAUGUGAUCACAUGCACAUAUUGCCUUACUCGGAGAGAACCAAUUUGCACAGCAUCUAUUGGCAAAAAGAAAAGAGAUACUUGAUGUUUAGAGAGGCUGGAAGAAAGAAAAUCCCUAGAAAUACUUGAUGCUUCUUUCAAUGAGAAUGAGAGGCGUAAAGUUUGCUAGGGUAGCAGUACACUUCCCUAAGUUGAUUGUUGAAAAGAUUCUUAGUAUUCUUAAAAAAGAUGCUUCUAGUUUGCUUCAACAUUUACAACUAUAUUUAAUGCAAUUUUUCUGUUCAAUCGGAAGAAAGGACAAGCUUCAAGUCAAUUAGUAUCUUUUAUUCAUCAAAAUUUAUCUGUUGGAAAUUUUAGGUUGAGUAAUAGAAUGUGA